CGGGGUGUAGCGCAGCCCGGUAGCGCGCCUGCUUUGGGAGCAGGAUGUCGGGAGUUCGAAUCUCUUCACCCCGA
This 74-nucleotide transfer RNA is filed under the name Sutterella sp. CAG:397. It matches the Rfam family "tRNA". From Rfam's summary of the family: Transfer RNA (tRNA) molecules are approximately 80 nucleotides in length. Their secondary structure includes four short double-helical elements and three loops (D, anti-codon, and T loops). RNAcentral also lists the same sequence under 1 other name. Lineage: Bacteria; Pseudomonadati; Pseudomonadota; Betaproteobacteria; Burkholderiales; Sutterellaceae. The record is from Rfam by way of RNAcentral.